RNAcentral lists this transfer RNA (45 nucleotides) under Holcosus undulatus (rainbow ameiva). Its description in RNAcentral is "partial tRNA-Ala". Lineage: Eukaryota; Metazoa; Chordata; Lepidosauria; Squamata; Teiidae. The record is from RNAcentral.
AAUAAGACCUGUGCUACUCACAACACAUCUCCUGAAUGCAACUCA